Molecule: ribosomal RNA, 487 nt
Filed under: Listeria monocytogenes
Lineage: Bacteria; Bacillati; Bacillota; Bacilli; Caryophanales; Listeriaceae
Description: bacterial LSU rRNA
Rfam family: Bacterial large subunit ribosomal RNA
Source: RNAcentral
UCGCUCAACGGAUAAAAGCUACCCCGGGGAUAACAGGCUUAUCUCCCCCAAGAGUUCACAUCGACGGGGAGGUUUGGCACCUCGAUGUCGGCUCAUCGCAUCCUGGGGCUGUAGUCGGUCCCAAGGGUUGGGCUGUUCGCCCAUUAAAGCGGUACGCGAGCUGGGUUCAGAACGUCGUGAGACAGUUCGGUCCCUAUCCGUCGUGGGCGUAGGAAAUUUGAGAGGAGCUGUCCUUAGUACGAGAGGACCGGGAUGGACAUACCUCUGGUGUACCAGUUGUCGUGCCAACGGCAUAGCUGGGUAGCUAUGUAUGGACGGGAUAAGUGCUGAAAGCAUCUAAGCAUGAAGCCCCCCUCAAGAUGAGAUUUCCCAACUUCGGUUAUAAGAUCCCUCGAAGAUGACGAGGUUAAUAGGUUCGAGGUGGAAGCGUGGUGACACGUGGAGCUGACGAAUACUAAUCGAUCGAAGACUUAAUCAAUUUUUUAAA